RNAcentral lists this ribosomal RNA (775 nucleotides) under uncultured Neocallimastigales. Its description in RNAcentral is "partial large subunit ribosomal RNA". It matches the Rfam family "Eukaryotic large subunit ribosomal RNA", at positions 18 to 643 of the family's 3401-position model. Lineage: Eukaryota; Fungi; Neocallimastigomycota; Neocallimastigomycetes; Neocallimastigales. The record is from RNAcentral.
UCAGACGAUGCGUCAUGCAUAUCAAUAAGCGGAGGAAAAGAAACUAACAAGGAUUCCCCUAGUAACGGCGAGUGAAGCGGGAAGAGCUCAAAUUUGAAAUCUUAAAGGGUUUCCCUUUACGAAUUGUAGUUUAAAGAAGUGUUUUCUGUUGAGGUUUUGGUAAAAGUUCUUUGGAAUAGGACAUCAUAGAGGGGUGAGAAUCCCGUAUUUGACCUUUACUUUCAACUUUGUGAUACACUUUCAAAGAGUCGGAUUGUUUGGGAAUGCAGUCCAAAAUGGGUGGUAAAUUUCAUCUAAAGCUAAAUAUUGGCGAGAGACCGAUAGCGAACUAGUACCGUGAGGGAAAGAUGAAAAGAACUUUGAAAAGAGAGUUAAACAGUACGUGAAAUUGUCAAAAGGGAAGCGUUUGACACCAGUGUUGUUUUUCUGAAAAUCAAUUAAAGAACUGUUUAUGCUAAGUUGUUUAGACUUUAUCAGCUAUCUGUUUAGUUUUGAGCUUUUCUUUAAUGCACUUUUCAGUUAACAAGUCAACAUCAAUUUCUUUUGCUGUAAAAAAGCUUGAGGAAGGUGGCUUGAGAUUCGUCUUAAGUGUUUAUAGCCUCUUGCCUAUGCAGUCGGAGAGAUUGAGGUCUGCAGCGUAGAUCCUUCGGGGCUAAAUGCAUUUGUGCUAAGUUAUAGCAUUUUAUAGACAACUUGUUGACUAUGAUUUGUCUUGUAGCUUACUCGCUUAUGUUAUUUUACCUACGCUUAGGAUGUUGACACACGCGCGUGCUCG